GGGAAAAUCAGCAAUUUCACUUCUCAAAUGGUUCUAGUAGACCUUUAGUGCGUUCUGUUAAUGGAAAGCCCCUGCUACUGAUGCAUUGAAAAUGAAUGUGGAUGCAGCAAUUAUUGAAGGAGUUUGUUGUGGAUUAGGAAUGGUGCUACGUAAUCAUAAAGGGGAGAUUCUUAUGUCUGCUGCUUUUCGCCUUAACCAUUC
RNAcentral lists this unclassified non-coding RNA (201 nucleotides) under Hevea brasiliensis (rubber tree). Lineage: Eukaryota; Viridiplantae; Streptophyta; Magnoliopsida; Malpighiales; Euphorbiaceae. The record is from RNAcentral.